Molecule: ribosomal RNA, 364 nt
Filed under: uncultured bacterium
Lineage: Bacteria
Description: bacterial SSU rRNA
Rfam family: Bacterial small subunit ribosomal RNA
Source: RNAcentral
UAGCCUUUCGAAAGGAAGAUUAAUACCCCAUAAUAUAUCUGAUGGCAUCAUUAGAUAUUGAAAACUCCGGUGGAUAGAGAUGGGCACGCGCAAGAUUAGAUAGUUGGUGAGGUAACGGCUCACCAAGUCAGUGAUCUUUAGGGGGCCUGAGAGGGUGAUCCCCCACACUGGUACUGAGACACGGACCAGACUCCUACGGGAGGCAGCAGUGAGGAAUAUUGGACAAUGGGUGCGAGCCUGAUCCAGCCAUCCCGCGUGAAGGACGACGGUUCUAUGGAUUGUAAACUUCUUUUAUACUGGGAUAAACCUACUCUCGUGAGGGUAGCUGAAGGUACAGUAUGAAUAAGCACCGGCUAACUCCGUG